RNAcentral lists this ribosomal RNA (253 nucleotides) under uncultured bacterium. RNAcentral's name for it is "partial 16S ribosomal RNA". It matches the Rfam family "Bacterial small subunit ribosomal RNA", at positions 524 to 776 of the family's 1533-position model. The record is from RNAcentral.
UACAGAGGUCUCAAGCGUUGUUCGGAUUCAUUGGGCGUAAAGGGUGCGUAGGCGGCGCGGUAAGUCGGGUGUGAAAUCUCGGAGCUUAACUCCGAAACUGCAUUCGAUACUGCCGUGCUUGAGGACUGGAGAGGAGACUGGAAUUUACGGUGUAGCGGUGAAAUGCGUAGAUAUCGUAAGGAAGACCAGUGGCGAAGGCGAAUCUCUGGACAGUUACUGACACUGAGGCACGAAGGUCAGGGGAGCAAACGGG